UUGAGGAGCUUGGAGACAGAAUUUCUCUAUCAACAGAAUAAGUAAAGCUUGAGGCAACAGCAGUACAAGGUUCUCCACACACUACUGCCCAUCUGCCUCAACCCUGACCUGGAGAAAGAAGCUCAAGGAGAAAUGUUCAGUCUUCAUGACUGUUCAGUCAUUGGUCUCA
RNAcentral lists this small RNA (169 nucleotides) under Gopherus agassizii (Agassiz's desert tortoise). RNAcentral's name for it is "TUC338 (ENSGAGG00000025097.1)". Lineage: Eukaryota; Metazoa; Chordata; Testudines; Testudinidae. The record is from RNAcentral.